This 253-nucleotide ribosomal RNA is filed under the name uncultured bacterium. RNAcentral's name for it is "partial 16S ribosomal RNA". It matches the Rfam family "Bacterial small subunit ribosomal RNA", at positions 524 to 776 of the family's 1533-position model. The record is from RNAcentral.
UACGUAGGGGGCUAGCGUUGUCCGGAAUCAUUGGGCGUAAAGAGCGUGUAGGCGGCCCGGUAAGCCCGCUGUGAAAGUCGGGGGCUCAACCCUCGAAUGCCGGUGGAUACUGUCGGGCUAGAGUGCGGAAGAGGCGAGUGGAAUUCCUGGUGUAGCGGUGGAAUGCGCAGAUAUCAGGAGGAACACCGAUGGCGAAGGCAGAUCUCUGGGCCGUAACUGACGCUGAGGAGCGAAAGCGUGGGGAGCGAACAGG